Molecule: transfer RNA, 75 nt
Filed under: Capronia coronata CBS 617.96
Lineage: Eukaryota; Fungi; Ascomycota; Eurotiomycetes; Chaetothyriales; Herpotrichiellaceae
Rfam family: tRNA
About the family: Transfer RNA (tRNA) molecules are approximately 80 nucleotides in length.
Source: Rfam by way of RNAcentral
GGUCGGAUGGUGUAGUUGGUUCAUCACAUCUCCUUAACACGGAGAAGGUCCUGGGUUCGAACCCCAGUCUGAUCA